AACUCCUCUCUGCCUAAACCAUUUUACUGAUUCGAGAUUCUCACUUCUCCUCCAAAUCAGUUUUACUUCGCCGCUGGUUUUUCUCUUCCAGAACAACAAUGGCGGUUUCCGGUGACCCGAAGUUGAAGAUCGUCAAAGGCGAAGCCGGUUACGUGCUCGAAGACGUGCCUCAUCUCGCCGAUUACUUGUCCGAUCUUCCUACUUAUCCUAAUCCACUGCAAACCAAUCCUGCUUACUCUGUAGUCAAGCAGUAUUUUGUUAACGAAGACGAUACUGUUGCUCAAAAGAUUGUUGUCCACAAGGAUAGUCCAAGAGGGACACACCUUCGGCGAGCAGGACCACGCCAAAAGGUGUAUUUUGAGGCGGAUGAAGUGCAUGCCUGUAUCGUAACAUGUGGUGGUUUGUGCCCUGGGCUCAACACGGUGAUCAGGGAAAUUGUCUGUGGACUUUAUCACAUGUAUGGUGUCAACAAGGUUCUCGGAAUAGAUGGAGGAUAUAGUGGUUUCUAUUCCCGAAAUACUGUUGAUUUGACACCUAGGGUUGUGAACGAUAUUCAUAAACGUGGUGGUACUAUCCUUGGGACAUCACGGGGAGGCCAUGAUACCUCGAAGAUUGUUGACAGCAUUCAUGAUCGUGGAAUUAACCAGGUUUACAUAAUAGGAGGCGAUGGAACUCAAAGAGGAGCAUCUGUCAUAUUUGAGGAAGUUAGACGCCGUGGCCUCAAAGUUGCUGUUGUAGGAGUUCCCAAAACAAUAGACAAUGACAUACCGGUUAUAGAUAGAUCCUUUGGCUUUGAUACUGCGGUUGAGGAGGCCCAGCGUGCCAUUAAUGCAGCUCAUGUGGAAGCUGAAAGUAUUGAGAAUGGUAUUGGUGUUGUGAAGCUAAUGGGACGCUACAGUGGUUUCAUAGCUAUGUAUGCUACACUUGCCAGUCGAGAUGUGGACUGUUGUUUGAUUCCAGAGUCCCCCUUCUUUCUUGAAGGACGAGGUGGACUUUUUGAGUUCAUUGAAAAGCGACUCAAAGAAAAUGGACAUAUGGUUAUUGUGAUUGCUGAGGGAGCAGGACAGGAUCUUCUGGAAGAGAGCUUGCAAUCCAUGAACCAGCAAGAUGCUUCGGGAAACAAGCUACUUAAAGAUGUGGGGUUAUGGAUAUCUCAGAGGAUCAAGGAUCACUUUGCACACCAACAUAAGCUGUCUGUAAAUCUGAAAUACAUAGAUCCUACAUACAUGAUCAGGGCUAUUCCGAGUAAUGCAGCUGACAAUGUCUACUGCACACUGCUGGCUCAAAGUGCCGUUCAUGGAGCAAUGGCAGGGUUCACGGGCUUUGUAGUUGGGCCUGUCAAUGGAAGACAUUCUUACAUUCCUUUUAAUCAUAUCACUGAGCGCCAGAACAAGGUUGUGAUUACUGAUAGGAUGUGGGCACGGCUCCUUUCUUCAACCAACCAGCCGAGCUUCUUGAACCCCAAAGACGUUGAUGAAGUCCUAAAAGAGGAAGAGCCUGUAACUCAACUGCUAGAAGGAGACAAUUGUAAAGAUAGCAAGUACUAGAGACAUUCCUAGCACGACAUGAAAACACGAGACCAUAUUAUUCGAAACCUUCUGUUAGAGUCAUUAGUGUUCAGAUCUUUCCUUGAUGCUCUUCAGAAUGCUGAUGGAAUUCACAUUUUUACUUGCUAGUAUAAAACAAAUUCAGUUCACCAUGUCCUACCAAAGAGAUUAUCGCAUAAGAUGUUCAUUUGGUAGAAGCAAAACUAGCAUAUCUGGAGUGGGAUUAGCUUGUACGAUUUUGUAAUUACUUAGCUCAUUGCAUAUUUUUGACAGUGUUGCUGUUGGCCAUUUAUUCUAUUGGAUAGUUUUGGAUGUUUUGAAAAGGGUAAUGAAAGUAAUUUGGCUAUUUAAGAGUUCAUUAUAACA
RNA transcript from Fragaria vesca subsp. vesca, 1913 nucleotides. It is a transcript of the gene named 6-phosphofructokinase 3-like, with no coding region annotated. Lineage: Eukaryota; Viridiplantae; Streptophyta; Magnoliopsida; Rosales; Rosaceae. The transcript has 13 exons. The record is from RefSeq and is a predicted model, not a curated record.